RNAcentral lists this transfer RNA (72 nucleotides) under Bos taurus (domestic cattle). It matches the Rfam family "tRNA". From Rfam's summary of the family: Transfer RNA (tRNA) molecules are approximately 80 nucleotides in length. RNAcentral also lists the same sequence under 3 other names. The record is from Rfam by way of RNAcentral. Lineage: Eukaryota; Metazoa; Chordata; Mammalia; Artiodactyla; Bovidae.
UCCCUGGUGGCUCAGACAGUAAAGAAUCUGCCUGCAAUGCAGGAGACCCAGGUUCGAUCCCUGGGUAGGGAA